RNA transcript from Hordeum vulgare subsp. vulgare (domesticated barley), 4633 nucleotides. It is a transcript of the gene named zinc finger CCCH domain-containing protein 7, with no coding region annotated. Lineage: Eukaryota; Viridiplantae; Streptophyta; Magnoliopsida; Poales; Poaceae. The record is from RefSeq and is a predicted model, not a curated record. The transcript is spliced from 10 exons.
GGCCCAAACUCUCUUAUUUGCCGCCUCUGCCUUCCAUGAUUCCAUGACAAUGGGGUUUCCUCUCCUCAUCGGACAGUUCCGUCGGCGCCGACGAGCUCGCACGGCGAGGCUCGACACCCUAACUCCAACCCAGCCAACCCCCACGCGUAGAGCCUAAUUCUAAGGCAACCUAACCCCUCGCCAUGGAGGAUGCCCUCGUGCCGCCAGUGCCUCCUGCCCACCUUGCGUCCGAGGCCGCUGCCCCAACCACCCUUUUCCUCACUCGCCGGCGAUCACAUCUCGACAGCGCCUCCUACCGCACGCUCUCCCGGCUCUUCUCCCACUGCCUCCACCACCGCUCUUCGCAGCUCGCUGCCCCGGCGCCCCUGGAAGUCCAGCCCGCCUCUGCGAACCCUAUCUCCGAAGAGUCGCCACAGGGGUGCUCGGUACCGCCUAAAGACCCGGAGUUUGGACGGGGAAAGGAUUUAGGAGAAGGGGAGGCUGCGGUAAGAACUUCUGUCAUCGAGAACCCCUCACCCGCGGUGGUCGAUGCAGCCACAGGUAACCCUAUUGCAGACCCGGAUGUGGCACCACAGAGAUCCGUGGAGCAUCAAAUGGCCGGGGUUCAGCGGGCGGAGGGCGUAAAAGAUAUGGUUGUUGGGGGAAAUGUCUGCCGUGAGACAGUUGCGUUAGUGGAGGAGUUGAUGGCAGAAGAUGUUUUGAGGUCGAUGAAGGAUUGUUUGGAGGGUGAGGUUGACGAAUUGGUAGAGCCAGAUGUAGUGGUGGUCAAUGAUGAUGACCAUCUGCUGCUUGAUACGAUGAUGACCAACUUCUCAGGGUUGAUUGCUGAUGCCAGUGGCGGCACAACGUCAAUGCUGAACAUGGCUGAGGGGGUGAAAGAAUUGGGAGCUGGAACUGAAGAAGACAGACCUGUGGGUGAUUCAGAUCAGCACUCAGUUGAUGGUGGCGUGGUUGAGGAAGGAGAGAUUGAGGGUGACAUGCAGGCUCUGGAUGUGGAUGAAUCUGAUGAUUCGGAGCUCGAAGUUGCAGGUGAUGAGGAACUGGAAGAGGAUUUUGCUAACAGAGUGUUGGAGGAGAAUGAAUCAUCUGGCCAGGGCGUACGGUGUCUGAAUUUGCUUUCAACACCUAAAAUUAAGGGAACCAGUGAUCUUGUACUGAACAAGGAAGGUUCUAUCAAGGAUGAUGCACUAAAGCAUGUUACCAGGGCGCAGGCAGUCAGUUAUGAUGAAAUUGUGGAAUGGAAUGAGACACCGCUGCAUGAUGCUGAGGCUCCCAAACAAGGGAAGAGAAAACGACUUUUGACAGAGGAAAGAAAGGCUAAGAAGACGAAAAACAAACGGGUUAAAAGAGCGCAGCAGCGGAUAGCGGAUGGUGUGAAAAAACUGAAACUCGCACCAGUUAUAAAGCCGAAACCAGUGAAGUUUUGCCAUUUCUACAUGCACGGGAAGUGCCAGCUGGGCAAUGCUUGCAAGUUCUCACAUGAUACUACACCUUUGACAAAAUCUAAGCCCUGCACACAUUUUGCGCGCGGUUCUUGUUUGAAAGGAGAUGAGUGUCCCUAUGAUCAUGAGUUGUCAAAGUACCCUUGCCACAAUUUUGUGGAAAAUGGAAUGUGCUUCAGAGGCGAUAAAUGCAAAUUCUCUCAUGUGGUGCCAACUGCAGAUUGUCCUUCCAAACCAGAUGCAAAGAAAUCUAAUGCAUCGGUGUCUGAAAAACCUGGCAGAGAGCAAAUAAGUAGUCAGAAAGCAUCAACAGUCCAUGAUGGCGAACAUGUAACUUCUGCUCCUACCAAACAUCACUCCAUCCUUAAAAACCUUGCCACCAUCUCCGUAAAUGCUCAAAAAACAUCAACGGGUAUACCAAAGGGUGUGCAGUUUCGUCCUUUAUGUAAGGACAGAUCAAAUUCUAGCAUGCUACUUCAGGAUGCUCUACCCACCGAGAAGCAUAUGUAUACAAAUGGCAGUAAACAUCAGAAUUUUGGUGGACCGCAGGCUGCAGAAGGGGAUAAAAAUGCCAAUCCAAAUAAACAGAUAUCAGCUCCACUGUUCGACGAGAACUCAUCAAAAGAAGCUAGUUCACAUCGAAGUUCAGACCCAAAGAGAACUAGUUUGCCUAUUGGUUCUACUACAGUGGUUGGAUCACUGAGCAAUCAGCACGGAGUUUCAGAGGCUUCAAGAAUUUUGCAGGAAUUCUUAUUUGGUGCUGGCAGUUAGAGGAAAAAAUUAUUAGGCUAAGAGCCACCGUGGGUACAUGAAGAUUUGUUAUUAUCAAGUCAACUGACUUCCAACUCCAUAUGGUAGUUCCAUUUAGCCAAUCAUUUGCAGCAUUGGAUCUAAGCUUACUGGUAUGAUAAAUGCCUUCUUGAAUCGGUGCUUUGAUGAGUCAUCUCUCACAUAUGAUUCAUUUUAACCACGCUUUGGAAGUUGCUCCGAGUUAAAUGAGUAUGUGGAUUUUAAAAUGUUCCCUUGUCAUAGUUGAAAUGUCAGUAUUUUUUGGUUCAUUUUGUGAGUCUUGAUACCACUCAUUUAGUGAUAAAUUGUAUAUCUCUGGUAGUAUUAGUUUAUGCUUUUUGACUUGGCAUUGCUCACUGUCACCCAAGAUAUAAUUUUGACCAUGAGUUGUAUAAUAUUUAUUUGAAACUGUUGGGCAAUUGAUUGGUCAAGUGUGCUGGUUUGCUGGUGCAACUGAUGGUCGAAAUAGUCUUAAAAACUCAUCAAUGAUGUUAUGUUUAAAUAUUUUUCUACAGUUUUCAUUUGUAUGACAUAGUAGACCACUGAUAUAAGUUGUAGUUCUUUCUCUGGAAGCACUGAAGCGUUCUGCCACCUGUGUUUUUGGGUCUUGGGAGAGCAUUUGUAGUGGAGGUUUGAAUUCUGGGCUCAGCACUAAGUUAAAAUGCAGUUUUUAUUCUAUUUUGAUGCUAAAAUGGUAUUUAGCAUUAACUGGACAGGAGCAGUCUUUUGCACCGGUUUUUGCUAGUUCUACAGGUGGCCUAAUUUUAUGAAGAGUUUUUGUGACAAUAUAUUUUCAUGGUAUAGAAGUUGUGAGAUUGUUAAAAGUAUUUUCAUUUUAUGACCGAUCUACUUGUUCACUUAUGAUUUGCGAGAUAAAUCCAAAGAUUAAAAACCAAUGUUUGAGUGCAUCCUUCCCACGGCAACAUGUUCUCUCAGACCGGUUCACAAGUAUUAGCUUUCUACUCCAUUUGUAACCGGUUCUGGUAACUGAAUUUUGAGACUUGGUCAUUGGGGUGUUACUAGUACAGUAUAACUGUUUGUGGUUCCUUCUCAAACAAAGCAUUAGCUUUCAUCCAAGAUUUCUUGUCUGGAGAAAUAUUUAUCUGCAGAGCCCUGUGGAAGUCUUGAACCAGAUCUCGUUACUUCUUUCCCUUCACUAUUGAUUGAGUGCUAAAUUAUCUGCAGUGUCGGCAUGUGACCUGAUGUUGUUUUGGUUCACAAGGCGAAGCGCUGGAAAUUUGAGGUGUCAUUAUUCAGUUCCUAACAAAGGCUGCUUUCUGAGGCACCUCUCAGGACCGCCGGAUUGUCCAGGCAAAGGGAGCAUUGGAUGGUUUGAACUUGCAUGCAUGCAUGCAGUAUCCGGGAUUAUCUCUUGGUUGAGAAUUGCUUGUGGAACUAGUCUGGAGACUGUGGGACAGUGGCAGGCAGAAUCAAAGGUGUCUCAGAAUUACAUUCACAUGAUCACUGAGGAGGCUCACAUGGCGUUUUAUCACCUCCAGAUUUGUCGCAGACAUCUGAGUUUACGCUCCUCGGUGAUUCAUAACUGGCUAUCUCAUUACACAGUCAGAUUUUUUCUUCCAAUGAUGAUGAUGCCUUUUAAACCAUGUUAUUUCGUCAUGCUGCUCAUGUCAGCUUUGAGUGGCUUGUGCCCGAGGAACUGGAUAACGCUGUGAACCAAACUGGAUAUGGUGUGAACCUAGUGAAAGCCCCCCUCCCUGAGGAUGUGAUGGACCUGAUAGGUAGCCACUUUUUUGCUUUCCCUCCUAUGGUAAGUACUCUCUAGUUGGAAAACAAAAUGCAUAUUUACGCCAGUACUUCAGGGCCCUUCUAUAUACUCCAUUCAUGGAGGAUUUGUUACCAUCUACACCUAAGGCCCUUUUUGGAUUAUCGUUUCCCUUUUGAAUACCCCUGUAAAAAAUACAGGUCUUCCCGUCUGUUUUGUUUCCAGUCGGGAAUUGCUCGGUGGCUGGUGAGAUACACCUGUAAGUUAACACCUCAGUGUAAAAUUACAUCGAUUCCGAGCGCGGCCUAAGUGUGGGUAAGGGUAUAUGGCGAAAUAUGGUUGACCAGAAAAAUAUAUGUAUGUAAUCAUUUUGUACCCAGCGUUUGUUGUGCACAUCAAGUUUGUCUUGCAGUUUGCUUUUAGUGAGUGGAGUGUAGCUUUCUGCCUUUGUGCUUGUAAUGUUCCAGCUCAUGAAUUAGCGGCUAUUGGUAGGCAUGGUGAUCUGGGUGGCCGGCAUGUAUGGCUGGUAAAUCUCCCAAACGUUGUAGCCGUUGCAGUGGCCGCCGGUUUGGUUGGUCCAUGGUGAUUGGUGAUAUGUAAUGCAAGGUGUUCCGGUUCCAAAAAAUGUAGCUGUAUUUUGAUUGUUAAGGCAAGCCUUUAAUCAACAGUUCUUAUAUUA